AUAAAUAUGGAAGAAGACUCAACGUGCACACACGGGAACUGUUAUUUCACACCAGCACCGAGUUAGUGAACUGCUGGGAGUUGUGUUACGUGAAGGCAUCAUGGCAAACGUUAGAGUGGCCGUUCGAGUCCGCCCUCUCAACGCAAGGGAGAGGGCGGAUGAAGGAAGGCUUGCAGUUCAGGUGGAGGACAAGCUUUUAAGGGUCAAAAAUGUAAAGCUGGAUGGACGUACGGAUGGUGCUGUCGAUUCGAGGGAGA
Molecule: long non-coding RNA, 257 nt
Organism: Anoplopoma fimbria (sablefish)
Lineage: Eukaryota; Metazoa; Chordata; Actinopteri; Perciformes; Anoplopomatidae
Exons: 3
Source: RefSeq, a predicted model, not a curated record